Molecule: ribosomal RNA, 293 nt
Filed under: uncultured bacterium
Lineage: Bacteria
Description: partial 16S ribosomal RNA
Rfam family: Archaeal small subunit ribosomal RNA
Source: RNAcentral
GUGCCAGCAGCCGCGGUAAUACCGGCAGCACGAGUGAUGGCCGAUAUUAUUGGGCCUAAAGCGUCCGUAGCUGGCCGGACAAGUCCGUUGGGAAAUCCGCCCGCUCAACGGGUGGGCGUCCAGCGGAAACUGUUCGGCUUGGAGCCGGAAGACCCGAGGGGUACGUCCGGGGUAGGAGUGAAAUCCCGUAAUCCUGGACGGACCGCCGGUGGCAAAAGCGCCUCGGGAGGACGGACUCGACAGUGAGGGACGAAAGCUAGGGUCUCGAACCGGAUUAGAUACCCUUGUAGUCC